This 1298-nucleotide long non-coding RNA is filed under the name Phasianus colchicus (ring-necked pheasant). Its description in RNAcentral is "lncRNA (ENSPCLG00000004109.1)". The record is from RNAcentral. Lineage: Eukaryota; Metazoa; Chordata; Aves; Galliformes; Phasianidae.
CCAUACUGUGCCAGCAGGCUGGGUUUGCACUGCGGCACUUUGCUUAGAGCAUCCCGCCGACUUCAGGCCUCCUCCUUCUCCUGGCCCUGGCAGCAUGACUUGCAGCUUUUCCUAAAACUGGCAAGCAGCCUCCUGCUUGAAGACGGGCAGAGCGUUAACCCCUUCCCGCCUCUUCUCCUCCUCGUCCCCCAGCGGUGGGAAGGACAGCAUUCCACCCCAACAGCCCCAGUGAUGGGACACGGCAGUACCUGCAGCUCCAGGCUUCCAGGGCUGAGGAAUCUCUGCAGGUACAACAGCCUCCGGGGUGAAAUGCAUCACAGCUGAGAACCCACCCAUCAGCUUUGCACUCCUGGUGCUGCAGCCAGAGAUGAGUGCAGCCACUAGGUAGGGACUAGGAGGGGACAGUCACGGAGAAGGGGGAGAGGAGGAGGACAAGGAGGAGGAGGAGAAAGGGGGCUGCCAUGAGGAAGGAGCCCGAAGCACUGUGCCUGCUCUCAGCUACUCCUGCAGAAGUGAAUCCCACUCCCUUCAGAUUACUGGGAGAUAAAUUUAGAGUAGAUCUGAAAAGUAAUUUAGAGACCUAAAAAUACCUCUCUAUCAAGAGACUGGAAAACCAGGAGAGAGGAGGAAGGGGGAAAAGUGACUGUGGGCCAGAGAAAACAGCAAUAAGCAAUGACUGGAUCAGGCAGCCAGGGGAACAACUCGGCAACUCUGGGGCAGGGCUAACCCCAUUCCUCUGCCCCUCAUGAUGCUCUGAUUCUCACCAGCCAGGAACAGAUCCAUGACAUGGGAGGAGGAUGCUGCAGACGCUCCCUGAGCUGAGCAGGAGCUGCAGGAAGGAGAUAAAGGCGCUCAGCUCGCCUCGUGCCCUGCUUUCAUAAUCUCUGCUUUUUAAUAUCCUGUUGAGACACAGGUGCCCCACCUGCCUAGCAGCAGAAUUCCCAUUGAUACAGCCUUGCUGGGGAGCUGGCUGUAGGGCUCCCGGCCCCACAAACACCCCUCCCUCCUCACAGCAUGCCUCCGGUUUCCCUGUGCCAUGUAGCAUCCUCCUUUACCCAAGCUGAGAUGCAAUGGGUCUUGGGGACCCCACAGUGUGCAGGAUAGGAAGGGUGCCCUGGGCAUCUCCCACCUGGAUGGCAUUGUAAAUUAAUUUAAGUGCCACCACAAGCAUUCCAGCAUCCUGCAACACUCCAUGGGCACUGCAGUGCUCCCUCCUGGCAGAAGUCCCUGCUGCUGGAGGGAGGCAGGUGUCUGACGGUGCAUGGGAGCAAGGAGGCAUGCAGUGCUUGUCUCCUAUU